This 27-nucleotide non-coding RNA is filed under the name Mus musculus (house mouse). The record is from RNAcentral. Lineage: Eukaryota; Metazoa; Chordata; Mammalia; Rodentia; Muridae. RNAcentral also lists the same sequence under 1 other name.
UGGCUGUCUUCUAUGCACUUACUGUGU